AAAAGAACCAGUUUCAGGCAGUAACGUAGAGUCGCGCUCUUAAUGUUGGUGGAUGUGUUUUCACACGCUUCAUCCUGUGACCACUACAGUCUGAGAAGAUGAUCUGCUGGAUCCUGCAGCUCAUCAUCCUGACCUCCUGUGUCUGUGCAGGAGCAUUUGUAGUGACAGUGACACAGAGCUCCUAUCAGGCAGAGGAGAACCACAACGUCACACUGGAAUGGAGGUUCACACCCAAACCUGACAGCUCCUCCAACUCCCUUUAUAUCUACUGUGAACUGAUCACUGAUCACAAAGUCUCAGUCCUGUAUCAUCUGUAUGAGGGUGUUGAGGUCCCAGAGUCUCAGGAUGAACAGUUUUCAGAACGAGUCCAGUGCAACAAAGACGUCCUCAGAGAGGGACGAAUCAGACUUCAUGUGUCCAGACUCAGGACUGAGGACUCAGGCCUGUACCUGUGUGAUGUGGGGACAGAUGAUGGUGUGAGCAAUGACAAAUGUCAGCUCAACGUCAGCGCAGCUGCUGAUCCCCCCAAACCUCACAGACCAACUGUGAGCCCACAACCAGAGAGUCGGGGAAGGAUUGGUCUCUACGCUGUACUGGUACUGGGACUGGGACUGGUAGCAGCUCUACUGGUCAAAUUGUGC
Toxotes jaculatrix (banded archerfish) is the source of this 641-nucleotide long non-coding RNA. RefSeq lists it as uncharacterized. NCBI's taxonomy places the organism in Eukaryota, Metazoa, Chordata, Actinopteri, Toxotidae. The record is from RefSeq and is a predicted model, not a curated record. The transcript is spliced from 4 exons.